This 384-nucleotide ribosomal RNA is filed under the name uncultured bacterium. RNAcentral describes it as "bacterial SSU rRNA". It matches the Rfam family "Bacterial small subunit ribosomal RNA", at positions 29 to 416 of the family's 1533-position model. The record is from RNAcentral.
AUUGAACGCUGGCGGCAUGCCUAACACAUGCAAGUCGAACGGCAGCACGGGGCAACCUGGUGGCGAGUGGCGAACGGGUGAGUAAUACAUCGGAACGUGCCCAAUCGUGGGGGAUAACGUAGCGAAAGUUACGCUAAUACCGCAUACGAUCUAUGGAUGAAAGCGGGGGAUCGCAAGACCUCGCGCGAAUGGAGCGGCCGAUGUCAGAUUAGGUAGUUGGUGGGGUAAAGGCUCACCAAGCCGACGAUCUGUAGCUGGUCUGAGAGGACGACCAGCCACACUGGGACUGAGACACGGCCCAGACUCCUACGGGAGGCAGCAGUGGGGAAUUUUGGACAAUGGGCGAAAGCCUGAACCAGCAAUGCCGCGUGAGUGAUGAAGGCC